UCAGAGGGCCGGGCGGCCGCGGCGUGGCGGGUAACUUCCACGGCGAGGAAAGUCCGGGCUCCACGAAAUAACGGUGCCAGCUAACGGCUGGCUGGGGAAACCCAAGGGACAGUGCAACAGAGAGCAGGUCGCUAAGGCCUAGGCCAAGCGAAAGUGAAAGGGUGCGGUAAGAGCGCACCGCGGACCCGGCAACGGGGACGGCAUGGUAAACCCCACCGGGAGCAAGACCGAAUAGGGACGGCGCGGGGAGCAAUCCCCUAGGCAGAUUUCGGCCGAGACCGUCCGGGUUGGUUGCUUGAGGCCGGGAGCGAUCCCGGCCCUAGAGGAAUGGUCGCCCAUCCGCCUACCUCCACAAGAGGCGGCGGUGGACAGAACCCGGCUUACAGGCCCUCUGGCAGU
This 399-nucleotide RNase P RNA is filed under the name Sphingobium phenoxybenzoativorans. Its description in RNAcentral is "Bacterial RNase P class A". It matches the Rfam family "Bacterial RNase P class A". Rfam says of the family: Ribonuclease P (RNase P) is a ubiquitous endoribonuclease, found in archaea, bacteria and eukarya as well as chloroplasts and mitochondria. Its best characterised activity is the generation of mature 5'-ends of tRNAs by cleaving the 5'-leader elements of precursor-tRNAs. Cellular RNase Ps are ribonucleoproteins. The record is from Rfam by way of RNAcentral. Lineage: Bacteria; Pseudomonadati; Pseudomonadota; Alphaproteobacteria; Sphingomonadales; Sphingobiaceae.